This 480-nucleotide ribosomal RNA is filed under the name uncultured bacterium. RNAcentral's name for it is "bacterial SSU rRNA". It matches the Rfam family "Bacterial small subunit ribosomal RNA", at positions 96 to 562 of the family's 1533-position model. The record is from RNAcentral.
CGGCGGAUGGGUGAGUAACACGUGGGUAACCUACCUACAAGCUUGGGAUAACUCGUGGAAACGCGAACUAAUACCAAAUGCGAUCUUUUACCUCCUGGUAAAAGAUUAAAAGACGGUUUCGGCUGUCACUUGUAGACGGGCCCGUGGCGCAUUAGCUAGUUGGUGAGAUAAAAGCUUACCAAGGCAACGAUGCGUAGCCGACCUGAGAGGGUGAUCGGCCACACUGGGACUGAGACACGGCCCAGACUCCUACGGGAGGCAGCAGUAGGGAAUCUUCCGCAAUGGACGAAAGUCUGACGGAGCGACGCCGCGUGAAUGAUGAAGAUCUUCGGAUCGUAAAAUUCUGUUGUUAGGGAUGAACAAGUGUGAGCGUAACUACUCACACCUUGACAGUACUUAACCAGAAAGCCCCGGCUAACUACGUGCCAGCAGCCGCGGUAAUACGUAGGGGGCGAGCGUUGUCCGGAAUUAUUGGGCGUA